GAUGAACGCUAGCUACAGGCUUAACACAUGCAAGUCGAGGGACCGGCGCAGGGGUGAGUAACACGUAUCCAAACUGCCCUUUACUCGGAGAUAGCCUUUAGAAAGAGAGAUUAAUAACCAAUAUAAAGGAUGGGGAUGAGAUCAAUUAGGUGGUUGGUGAGGUAACGGCCCACCAAGCCUUCGAUGGAUAGGGGUUCUGAGAGGAAGGUCCCCCACAUUGGAACUGAGACCCGGUCCAAACUCCUACGGGAGGCAGCAGUGAGGAAUAUUGUUCACUGGGCGUUAGCCUGAACCAGCCAAGUAGCUUGAAGGAUGAAGGCUUAUGGGUCUUAAACUUCUUUUAUAUAAGAAUAUUUAUUAUAUGAAUAAGGAUCGGCUAACUCCGUGCCAGCAGCCGCGGUAAUUC
This 406-nucleotide ribosomal RNA is filed under the name uncultured bacterium. RNAcentral's name for it is "partial 16S ribosomal RNA". It matches the Rfam family "Bacterial small subunit ribosomal RNA", at positions 28 to 526 of the family's 1533-position model. The record is from RNAcentral.